GAGGCGCUGCAUGGCUGUCGUCAGCUCGUGUCGUGAGAUGUUGGGUUAAGUCUCGCAACGAGCGCAACCCCUAUUUUUAGUUGCCAGCAUUAGGUUGGGCACUCUAGAGAGACUGCCCGGGCCAACCGGGAGGAAGGUGGGGAUGACGUCAAGUCCUCAUGGCCCUUAUGUCUAGGGCUACACACGUAAUACAAUGGUUAAUACAAAGGGAUGCAAACUCGCGAGGGGGAGCAAAUCUCAAAAAGUUAAUCUCAGUCCGGAUUGGAGUCUGCAACUCGACUCCAUGAAGUUGGAAUCGCUAGUAAUCGUGGAUCAGCACGCCACGGUGAAUACGUUCCCGGGCCUUGUACACACCGCCCGUCACACCAUGGGAGUUGGUUUUACCUGAAGUCGUGACC
This 398-nucleotide ribosomal RNA is filed under the name Bacteriovorax sp. DH4. RNAcentral describes it as "bacterial SSU rRNA". It matches the Rfam family "Bacterial small subunit ribosomal RNA", at positions 1035 to 1434 of the family's 1533-position model. The record is from RNAcentral. Lineage: Bacteria; Pseudomonadati; Bdellovibrionota; Bacteriovoracia; Bacteriovoracales; Bacteriovoracaceae.